UGGUUGAUCCUGCCAGUAGUGUAUGCUUUUCCUAAAGACUAAGCCAUGCAUGCCUUCGAAUAAGAGGAAGCAAUUCUCUCUGAAUCUGCGAACGGCUCCGCAAACCAGUUGUAAACUAAGGCAAGCCAGCCUGGGACCAGCCUGCAAAGGCCAGACCCACGCUAUAUGGAUAACCCUGGUAAUUCUGAGGCUAAUACAUGAACAUAAUCCCUGGCUGACUGGGCCUUCGGGCCUUGGGAAGCUAGGGGACGUGCGAUUUUUGAGGCUUGGGUUUAACCGGGAAGGGGCGCACGUUCAGACCGCGCUACUAAGGGUUGGAGCUGCCUUCGGGCAGGCCCCAGCCCCAGCGGCUCUUGCACUGUGCUUCUGACCUAUCAACUAGACGGCAGCCUAAGGGACAUGCUAUGGUGACAACGGGUACAGAGGAUUAGGGUUCGAUCCUGGAGAGUGGGCCUGAGAGAUUGCUCAUACUUCUAAGGAAGGCAGCAGGCGCGCAACGUUCCCCUUGGGCAAAGCCCGAGGGCGUUAGGGGACAUAUGAAUGCCUGCCCAAUGGGUGGGCAAUUCAAAUGGGUCUGUUGUAAACAGGCUCUCGAGUAACAAUUAGAGGACAAGUC
This 616-nucleotide ribosomal RNA is filed under the name Diacheopsis reticulospora. RNAcentral's name for it is "SSU rRNA". It matches the Rfam family "Eukaryotic small subunit ribosomal RNA", at positions 5 to 561 of the family's 1831-position model. The record is from RNAcentral. Lineage: Eukaryota; Evosea; Eumycetozoa; Stemonitida.